AAAAACUCUUUUUUCCUAGGGGGGAACUUUUUAGAUGAUUGAUUUCGUAAAAGACACAGUAUAUAUGGAGGUUUCUUGUAAUUUACACUUUUCUCAGUUUCACCAAAAACUUUACUGUGGAAAUUAUCUUGUCAACUUCUGACUGCUUUUGUCUUUUGGUGUGUUGAACUUUGUGUAGGUGCUGCCUUACUGUUAAGGGCCUGACGGAGAAGUUUAAGGAGAAGGACACGGCGUAUUCAGGGUCCGCAACCUUCACUUACGAGUCCUUCAUGCUAACUGUGCUGCCCUUCCUCAUUGCUUAGAUAAACAAACAAGUUGCUUGUAUAAUAAGCUUUUCCUUCUGAACCAUUUUCUCCCAAGCGUCAGCAAACCUAGUGUGUAUGCUUGCUCUGCUUUAUUUUCUUUAUGUCCAUGAUGGUAUGACAGUUUCUUGAUGUGUUAUUUCCCCGUUAUAGGUGUUUGUAUUGCCUCUGUUGACGAGUUAUUUUUAGCUUGUGGUACGAGUAGAACUUACAAUGAGAUAAAAGGAAAAAAUUGUUAAUUAUCAGGUUAUUGU
This is a long non-coding RNA of Asparagus officinalis (garden asparagus), 556 nucleotides long. RefSeq lists it as uncharacterized. Lineage: Eukaryota; Viridiplantae; Streptophyta; Magnoliopsida; Asparagales; Asparagaceae. The transcript has 2 exons. The record is from RefSeq and is a predicted model, not a curated record.